RNAcentral lists this long non-coding RNA (1158 nucleotides) under Solanum tuberosum (potato). Its description in RNAcentral is "long non-coding RNA (STUB_LNC011259)". The record is from RNAcentral. Lineage: Eukaryota; Viridiplantae; Streptophyta; Magnoliopsida; Solanales; Solanaceae.
AACAUUUUCUCCGUAAAGAUGGAUAUCAAUUAUAUGAUCAAUUAGGUUAAUGAAUGAAUUAGUAGAAUGUGAGAAAUGAAAGAAGGUAAUUAAGCUAUGAAUUAAAAGAAUGUGUGAUAACUGAUAAAUGAAAGAAGGUAGAUAUUUAUUGAAUAAUUAUAUGAUCAAUUAGGUUAAUGAAUGAAUUAGUAGAAUGUGAGAAAUGAAAGAAGGUAAUUAAGCUAUGAAUUAAAAGAAUGUGUGAUAAAUGAAAGAAGGUAGGUAUUUAUAUAUAAUAAUAAAGUGAUGCAUGGGGGCAAGUAGUUUUAAACAAGGUCCUUGGAGAAAGUAGUACGUAUAAUUGGUGUGGUAGCGUGUAAUAGGGUCCAUUUUGACCAUAACUUAACUUUGUUGAUUUCUUCUUCUAGGUUAUACGUGAUGAUGGGGGCCACCUUACAUGAAACCACUGGGCUACAACACUUUGUUCUGUUAAGGGUGUCCAAAAUAUGUUAUUUAAUCAUUUUGUGUAUCAUUUUAUUUGUAUAUAUGAUAUUUUUUUUCCUACGAAGGGUGUCCAAUUGGACACGUUGACAACCAUGUAGCCAGAGGCGAAUCUAGGAUUUUUCAAAUAUGGGUGCAUCCAAAAAAAUGUAUUAAGUGGGAAUUGAUCCGAACAUGGAUGCAUCAAGAAAAAUGAAUUAAGUGAGAAUUGAUUCUUCAUCCUCAAGGUAAAAAACUCAACAUUUAACCAUGAGGACCAGAUAGACUUCUUAUAGCACGGGUGCAGGAAUAUAAUAAUAUACAAAUUUUAGAAAAUAUAUACAUAAAAUAUCUAGUUUUACGAAGAGACCACGGGUUCCGGUGACCUAUUUUUUAGGUUUAGAUUCGCCACUACAUGUAGCUACGCCACUGCUUGAGGUGAGUGCAUGAAUACCUCAACCACUAAGUCAACCUCUAAUUUUACAUUUAGGGGGUUUAAAAUCAAUAUAUAGACAUAAAAAUUCUUUAAAAUACCUUAUAUACAAUGUGAUUUUUUGCCGAAUAGGUUCGGGUGAACCCAGAGGCAGAUUUAUGAUUUGAAGACUUCGGGUGCACCAAUAUUAUUUUAGCUCAAAUAUAAGCUCUAAGAUAAACUUAAAAAAUAAAAAUAAUAAAAUAGCAUUGUAGCUAGAUUCAAAC